UCAUCAAGAGUCACCAUGAUCAGAGUUCUAGUCUUUUUUCAGUCACUCUACUGGAUUCAAGGAGUUGCAGGAACGAAGGAUGUCUUUCAGCCCAGUAUACUCUGGGCUAAAAUGGGUCAAUCAGCCACAAUAAACUGCUCACACAGCAAAGAUGCAAAUCAUAAUCAGAUGUACUGGUAUCGUCAGUAUCAUGGAGAGAGUAUGGAGCUCAUAGUGUUUACUACCAGCUUUGGCACUCAAGACUUUGGAAAAUUCAGCCAAAGUAAAUUCUCAGCUAUUAAAACAGUUCCUGAGAGCGGCUCAUUCACAGUAAAAGACGUGGAUUAUAGUGACAGCGCUGUGUAUUUCUGUGCCGUGAGAGAACACAGUGCUAUAACCACAGGGCAGAGCUGUACAAAAACACACCGUGUGUCUCUGGAGACACCUAAUGGGUGCUGA
This is a non-coding RNA of Ictalurus punctatus (channel catfish), 438 nucleotides long. Lineage: Eukaryota; Metazoa; Chordata; Actinopteri; Siluriformes; Ictaluridae. The record is from the annotation of a RefSeq genome assembly.